Molecule: ribosomal RNA, 367 nt
Filed under: uncultured Sphingobacteriales bacterium
Lineage: Bacteria; Pseudomonadati; Bacteroidota; Sphingobacteriia; Sphingobacteriales
Description: bacterial SSU rRNA
Rfam family: Bacterial small subunit ribosomal RNA
Source: RNAcentral
UUCGGGAAGCGAGCGUACACAGGUGCUGCAUGGUUGUCGUCAGCUCGUGCCGUGAGGUGUCGGGUUAAGUCCCAUAACGAGCGCAACCCCUAUCAUUAGUUGCCAUCAGGUCAAGCUGGGGACUCUAAUGAAACUGCCUACGCAAGUAGUGAGGAAGGUGGGGAUGACGUCAAAUCAGCACGGCCCUUACGUCCAGGGCUACACACGUGCUACAAUGGCCGGUACAAAGGGCAGCUACCUGGUGACAGGAUGCUAAUCUCAAAAGCCGGUCUCAGUUCGGAUCGGAGUCUGCAACCCGACUCCGUGAAGUUGGAUUCGCUAGUAAUCGCGCAUCAGCCAUGGCGCGGUGAAUACGUUCCCGGGCCUU